UUCGUAGGUGGCCAACUAAGUCAGACGUGAAAUCCCUCAGCUUAACUGGGGAACUGCGUCUGAGACUGGAUGGCUUGAGUGCAGGAGAGGAACGCGGAAUUCCAGGUGUAGCGGUGAAAUGCGUAGAUAUCUGGAGGAACACCGGUGGCGAAGGCGGCGUUCUGGACUGCAACUGACACUGAGGAACGAAAGCCAGGGGAGACGAAACG
RNAcentral lists this ribosomal RNA (209 nucleotides) under uncultured bacterium. RNAcentral's name for it is "partial 16S ribosomal RNA". It matches the Rfam family "Bacterial small subunit ribosomal RNA", at positions 568 to 775 of the family's 1533-position model. The record is from RNAcentral.